UGGGGAAUAUUGGACAAUGGGCGAAAGCCUGACGCAGCGACGCCGCGUGUGGGAGGAAGCCUUUCGGGGUGUAAACCACUGUCAGAGGGGAAGAACUGCGCCGAUUCGAACAGGGUCGGCGAUUGACGGUACCCUCAAAGGAAGCUCCGGCUAACUCCGUGCCAGCAGCCGCGGUAAGACGGAGGGCGCAAGCGUUGUUCGGAAUUACUGGGCGUAAAGCGCGGGCAGGUGGUCCGUUAAGUCGUUUGUGAAAAUCCGGGGCUCAACCCCGUGAAAUGCAGACGAUACUGGCGGGCUAGAGAUCGGUAGAGGCUAGCGGAAUUCCUGGUGUAGCGGUGGAAUGCGUAGAUAUCAGGAAGAACACCCGUGGCGAAGGCGGCUAGCUGGGCCGAGUCUGACACUCAUCCGCGAAAGCGUGGGGAGCAA
Molecule: ribosomal RNA, 426 nt
Filed under: uncultured bacterium
Lineage: Bacteria
Description: bacterial SSU rRNA
Rfam family: Bacterial small subunit ribosomal RNA
Source: RNAcentral